AUCCUUUAAAGAAAGCGUAAUAGCUCACUAGUCGAGUCGGCCUGCGCGGAAGAUGUAACGGGGCUAAACAUACCACCGAAGCUACGGCUGCGAACUUUGUUCGCGGGGUAGGGGAGCGUUCUGUAAGUGGCUGAAGGUGUGCCGGGAGGCAUGCUGGACAUAUCAGAAGUGCGAAUGCUGACAUGAGUAACGAUAAUGCGGGUGAAAAACCCGCACGCCGGAAGACCAAGGGUUCCUAUCCCAUGUUAAUCAGGGUAGGGUGAGUCGACCCCUAAGGCGAGGCUGAA
RNAcentral lists this ribosomal RNA (287 nucleotides) under Pseudoalteromonas luteoviolacea. RNAcentral describes it as "partial 23S ribosomal RNA". It matches the Rfam family "Bacterial large subunit ribosomal RNA", at positions 1118 to 1406 of the family's 2925-position model. Lineage: Bacteria; Pseudomonadati; Pseudomonadota; Gammaproteobacteria; Alteromonadales; Pseudoalteromonadaceae. The record is from RNAcentral.